RNAcentral lists this transfer RNA (72 nucleotides) under Bos taurus (domestic cattle). It matches the Rfam family "tRNA". From Rfam's summary of the family: Transfer RNA (tRNA) molecules are approximately 80 nucleotides in length. RNAcentral also lists the same sequence under 5 other names. Lineage: Eukaryota; Metazoa; Chordata; Mammalia; Artiodactyla; Bovidae. The record is from Rfam by way of RNAcentral.
UCCCUGAUAGUUCUGUGGUUAAACUCUGGGCUCCCAGUGCAGAGGGCGCAGGUUCGAUUCCUGGUCGGAGAA